CACGUAACACACAUAGUGGCUCUCUUGUUUAUUAUUUCUCUUCUGUUUUGCCAACAUUAAACAGUGAAGGCCUGUUGGACACUUUGUGGAGUUCAGAUCAUUGAUCAUCAUCUCCUGGAGCUGAAGCUGCAGUCAUGAGCGUCUGUCCACGUUCUCUCCUCCUGAGUCUGCUGAUCACCCUCUACCUUCAGUCCUGUGUGGUGGCAAACAAUGGAAAAUCUCCAGAGGAAUGUUGUUCUAAUUUCUUCAUCAAACCGAUCCCAGUAAGAUCCAUCGUGUCCUAUGAAGAAACAAGGACUGACUGUCCAAAAGGUGCAGUUGUUUUUAUCAACAAGAAAAAGGCUCGUUUGUGUGUGGACCCCGGCUUCAAGUGGGUGAGGCGAGCCAUAGACCAGAUUGAUAUUAGAAACGUAGAAGGUUCCACCGGUGUUUAAACCUGUCUGUUUUAAUGUGAAAUCAGCGUAUGGUUUCUUUAUGGAAUGCACUUUUCAUCUCCUUAUUACAGCAGCGCUAGGAUGGUCUCUGCCUGGACCAGAGAAUAAAGCUUUUUCUUAUAAAUUACCUUUAAACAGAAAGCUCACGUGACUGCUCCUUUUAUUACUGUGACUGCAAAUCUUUUGUUAAAUAAAAAUACUUUUGAAGAAAACAAUGUUUUGAUGGAUUCCAGAAGAUCAGGUACAUUGCGAGAGGGAUUACUGUUUUUUUUAGGAGAAAGGUUGGGCAUGUUAAACAAUAGGAUAAUGCAUUUAUACUACAGGACGAUGGAUUAAUACAAUAUGUUAACACAUUAGCACUAUAGGAUAAUGCAUUUGUAUUGUUAGAAAUCCGGCAGGAAGAGUCCGGAGCUUCAGAUUCAGAUUCAGAUGAGUUUUAUUUACAUGCAUGCAGAGAAUCAUGCAUGGGCACAGCUUGGUCAUCAGUCUAUCAGCAGUCUAACAAGAAUAUUUUGGAAGGACCUUAUAUACAUUUUAAAUGUAUACAGGGUGGGAGAGGAAGGAGGAAGAAAAGGAGUUAGAGGAGGGCUAAGGAGGGGGAUGUAGAAGGUGAAUAUGAGAUGAAAUGUAGGGGUAGAAAUAAGGGGGUGAUUGUUAUCACCUUGAGGUUAUGAGACAAAGGGUCAGCUCAGUACAAACAAAGGAGUGAACUGACAAGGUUAGAGUGUUAUCACCUUUCACCUUAUCCACUGAUGCUUUGACGUAGAUUUACAAUUGGCAUGUUGCCGUUUAACCUUGGUCAGUGAUUGCUUAGGUUUUUUACAUGUUCUCUGGGCAUUCAUGGCAGCUGUUAUAUGCUUUGUACAUUUAUUGGCUAGCUCAGGAAUCUUUCUCUCAGCUUCCUCUAGCUUACCCUCCAUUUAUCUAAGCUUAUACUUCCAGUACUGCUUAAUUACAUAAGACAUUCCUUAGCUAAGUCAUGCUUGAUACCAUAACCCAAAGCUGUUUUACAUUCCACAAGAGUCCAUUCUCUAUCAGCAGAAAAUAAAAAGUACUGAGUUGUC
Colossoma macropomum (tambaqui) is the source of this 1498-nucleotide long non-coding RNA. RefSeq lists it as uncharacterized. The transcript is spliced from 5 exons. The record is from RefSeq and is a predicted model, not a curated record. NCBI's taxonomy places the organism in Eukaryota, Metazoa, Chordata, Actinopteri, Characiformes, Serrasalmidae.